AGUACUCAAAAGUGUGGGUUUUGCUCUGAUAGACUGUUGACCAGAAGGUGGCGCUAUUGUGUAGAAGUUUAACAAUGUGACUUUCCAAUUGAUGGCGAGACACAAAUUGAAGUGGCAGGCAGAUUAAUGUCCUGCCCGUGAAUAACAGCAGCACCACAUCACGACACUCACGUGUGUUUUCACGAGCUUCUUCGUCUCUGUGCCUGCUUAUCCAGCUGAGCGGGAGAGGACAAGAUCAUCCAGCGGUGCGACAGUGAAGAGCAGAAUAAGGUAUGGAGGUCUGUCUUGGUGCUACACCAGAGGGGCAAACAUCGAAAUAGGAGUAUGGUUGUAUCUUCUGGCACUCUGUAGUGGUCUUCAGACACACAAAACAAAACGACACUUUACACCGAGGACAA
Molecule: long non-coding RNA, 398 nt
Organism: Acanthopagrus latus (yellowfin seabream)
Lineage: Eukaryota; Metazoa; Chordata; Actinopteri; Spariformes; Sparidae
Exons: 3
Source: RefSeq, a predicted model, not a curated record